This 1221-nucleotide long non-coding RNA is filed under the name Mustela putorius furo (domestic ferret). RNAcentral describes it as "lncRNA (ENSMPUG00000031322.1)". Lineage: Eukaryota; Metazoa; Chordata; Mammalia; Carnivora; Mustelidae. The record is from RNAcentral.
AAAUAAAAUCUUUUUAAUCAAUAAAUAAAAAAUAAAAACAUGUAAAUACCGAGCGCUCCUUAUUUCCUUUACUAAUGGCUUUUUAAUUAUUUCAUUGUCCGUAACAUUUAUUCAGCUUUUCACAAAUGGAGCCAGAAUACAGAGAAAUGAAAGCGGGCCUUCAUGCCCCAAGUCCGAUAAUCCUUGUUGACAUUUUUUUUUAAUAAAAUCAAUGCCUCCAUCUGGUGAAGAAUGUAAACAAUAGAGAAAGGUAGAGCGGUAAACAGUCAGUGGGUCCCUCCUCUCCCCGGUCCCUCUCCCCAAAAGUAACCACUGUUCACAGUUGACUGAAGGAUUUUUAACUUUAUGACUCACCUGGUUCCUUGAAAGAGAAAGAUUUCCCAGGACAUAGUUAAAGGGGAGUAGAUUGAGACCUAGGUUUUGGGAAUUUGGGAAACAUCGCUCCGCGGAUAAUCAUGGAGACUUAGGGGGACAGCCAAAGGGCGUUGGGAGUUUGGAGGGAGGGUUUGGAGCAGGAGAGGAGCGGGGAGGGAGGGUGUGGGUGUCUACCUCCCUGGAGCAUGGGCUCUGUCAGCCCCUCAGGAGUGAAAGAGCAGAGGCUAGUGUCCUGGGCUCAAGGCCAACGUAUCUGUUCAUUGUUUGUUCUGGCCACCCUCUUGGUCAACAGAGAAGGCAGGAGAGGCUGAUUUGCAGAGCUGCUGCAGAGCUGGGAUUACCGUCCAGGUUCUUCGUUCAGAGGCUGAACCAAGUCUCAGGCGUUUCCAUUCAGGCACUGGGCUCGGUGGAUUUUAUCUGCGGCGAGGACAUGGAUGGCGCUGGAGAGUUAUCACACUAAAUGAAAUAAGUCAGAGAAAGACAAAUACGCUAUGAUGUCACUCAUAGGUAGAAUUGAAGAAACAAACGAACAAAGGAAAAAAAGAGAGAGACAAACCAAGAAAUAGACUAACUAGAGAGAACAAACUGCUGGUUCCCCCUGCAGAGGGGGCGGGGGAGAACAGGGAAUGUGGAUGAGGGAGUGCCCUGAUGAGCACUGAGCGACGUGUGUUAGUGUGAAAUCACUCAAUGGCACACCCGAAACUAACAGAACACUGUACGCUAACUAUACGGAAAUAAAAUAAAAGAUUUCAUCCGCAGUCAAAUGCACCUGAGCCCAGACUCCUCUCCUUUGUCCACCUCCUUUUCUGGACACUCUUAAGAUCUUGCCCAGUAAGCGGAUAAAAC